AUGGCUCAGCCUCAAGGUAAACUGAUGGACACGAUCAGAAGGCCGGUUGCAGCAGCUUCAUCUCUUCAUCAUUCAGCGGCUAAGCAUCUGGUCACCUUGGCCCAGAGGAAUGGAGUUAACAGGAGGUGCCUCCUCACUCUGCUGGUAUCCGCCGCAGCCAUACCUGAGGCCGGUGAAUCAAGAAAGGCCCUAUUGCAAGAUUAUGUGAAGAGAUCAAAGGAAAACAAAGAAAAGAAUGACAAGGAGAGGCGGGACGCCGUUUACAAAAGGAAUUACAAGGAUUAUUUCGGUUUCAUGGAAGGCCCGGUCAGAGAGAAGCCGGCGGAAGAGCUCACGGAGUCGGAGAAAGGAAUUCUUGCGUGGCUUGACAAGAACAAGUAG
RNAcentral lists this ribosomal RNA (381 nucleotides) under Triticum aestivum (bread wheat). RNAcentral's name for it is "partial small subunit ribosomal RNA". The record is from RNAcentral. Lineage: Eukaryota; Viridiplantae; Streptophyta; Magnoliopsida; Poales; Poaceae.